UAAAUGACUCUCGGCAACGGAUAUCUCGGCUCUUGCAUCGAUGAAGAACGUAGCGAAAUGCGAUACUUGGUGUGAAUUGCAGAAUCCCGUGAACCAUCGAGUCUUUGAACGCAAGUUGCGCCCGAAGCCAUUAGGCUAAGGGCACGCCUGCCUGGGUGUCACAC
RNAcentral lists this ribosomal RNA (164 nucleotides) under Sphaerolobium minus. RNAcentral's name for it is "5.8S ribosomal RNA". It matches the Rfam family "5.8S ribosomal RNA". Rfam says of the family: 5.8S ribosomal RNA (5.8S rRNA) is a component of the large subunit of the eukaryotic ribosome. It is transcribed by RNA polymerase I as part of the 45S precursor that also contains 18S and 28S rRNA. Lineage: Eukaryota; Viridiplantae; Streptophyta; Magnoliopsida; Fabales; Fabaceae. The record is from RNAcentral.